GGAUAUAAGCCAUGGAGAGGGUGU
This 24-nucleotide small RNA is filed under the name Brassica napus (rape). RNAcentral describes it as "PsRNA_73". The record is from RNAcentral. Lineage: Eukaryota; Viridiplantae; Streptophyta; Magnoliopsida; Brassicales; Brassicaceae.